Molecule: long non-coding RNA, 254 nt
Filed under: Malus domestica (apple)
Lineage: Eukaryota; Viridiplantae; Streptophyta; Magnoliopsida; Rosales; Rosaceae
Description: long non-coding RNA (MDOM_LNC005172)
Source: RNAcentral
AAUUUUGUCUAAAACACAAGUUAAUUAGAAGAAAUAUAAGUUGGUGUCACGUCACAACACUACUUACAAAUCCAGCUACUAAGUUACCGUUAUUCGAAUAACGAAUCACUCAUUUAACAUAUUAGCACAGAAAAAUAAUAUCUCAAGACGCCAUCAAUAAAAAAAUGUAUCAAAAUACAGAAUAUCUCCAAGUUGGAAAGAAGCUAGUUUUAUUUCCUAAUCACCCUAGUGCAUGGAAUCAUGUUCAUGAGAGG